CAACCCUCCGAACCCCGUCCGGGGGGUCGGCGGUUGGGGAUCGGCCCUUUACGGGGCCGGCCCCGAAAUACAGUGGCGGUCUCGCCGCAGCCUCUCCUGCGCAGUAGUUUGCACACUCGCAUCGGGAGCGCGGCGCGUCCAUUGCCGUAAAACACCCAACUUUCUGAAAUG
RNAcentral lists this unclassified non-coding RNA (171 nucleotides) under uncultured Trichoderma. RNAcentral's name for it is "sequence contains ITS2". The record is from RNAcentral. Lineage: Eukaryota; Fungi; Ascomycota; Sordariomycetes; Hypocreales; Hypocreaceae.